CACCAGAAUACACUGCCCGUCCGUCCAAAUUCUUUCCUGCUUGUCAUGAUUGCCAGUGCAGCAGCACUUUCGCCCGCUUCCGACCUUGCUUACUAGCCGGUGUGCCAACGCCAAGGGGCUGCAUCUGGGGUGGCUACUAGGCAGAGUAGGCGACGCCACUCUUCCACUUGCGUGUGGCGGUACAAACACGGGCAUGCACACAUAGACUCACAAGGCCGUAAACACAUAGGGCGCAUGCUGACACAGACUCACCUCAAGCUGCAGACUCAAACUUGAACACCAAAAAGCUGAAGCCAGAGAGAGAGAGGGGCGAUACCGGACGAACUCUGCAACGUUACUGUGCAGCCCUCGCCGUCCUCUCCUGCUGUUGUAGGACUGCACUCUAUCGCUUUUUGCGUAGUGACGGCUGGCAUUUGGCUCCCAUUUCCACCGGUGUACUGGCGAGUGUUGCUGCUUAUCCACCAUGUCGGAGCUGCACAUCGUCGGCGAGAUCGUGUGCGGCCACGAUUUCGGCGACAGCAGCUACUUUUGCAGCUACGAGAUGAUAACGGGCACGCAGUGGACCGCCGUCGAGGGGCGUACCUCCGGCUCGACACACGUGAUGCGCAGCGGCAGCGACGGCAUCCCGUGGAACUACCCCAUCGAUGUGCACUACAGCUUUAACAGCGUGCAGGGUUGGCCGAAGAUCGCGAUUCAGGUAUGGCAGCUCGAUAGCUACGGCUGCAAGGAUAUUGGCGGCUACGGCACCGCGUACUUGCCCAUGCCUGGCGGCGGGGAGCAGGAGCUGUGCCUGUCGACGUGGAGGCCGAAUUUGUGGAGCUCCAGCGCACUUGUGCGCUUGUGGCAGACGCUUCGCCUGUCUGUCAUGGGCGGCUACCCGGUGCUCCGCGACAACUCUCUCAUUGCCGACAACGAACAACGCUUCAAGCUGCACACAGUGACAAGCGGCACCGUGAAGAUGUCCUUCACAGUGAUGGGACGUGGAAUGAAGCAGGCCGGCCUCAUUUACGCAUAAUCUCGCGCAAGGCCACAGAUGCAUGGGUGCAACGCUUGCCUCUCUCUGUCUCCAUGUGCACGUGCGCAUACACGUCACCGUUUUCAGUGUCUUCUUGUUCUCUCUCUCGUCCAUUGUUGUAUGCCCGCACUAG
RNAcentral lists this unclassified non-coding RNA (1148 nucleotides) under Leishmania donovani. RNAcentral describes it as "gene:LdHU3.25.0400(CDS-product:B9_domain-containi ng_protein_2)". The record is from RNAcentral. Lineage: Eukaryota; Euglenozoa; Kinetoplastea; Trypanosomatida; Trypanosomatidae.